Molecule: small nuclear RNA, 107 nt
Filed under: Dasypus novemcinctus (nine-banded armadillo)
Lineage: Eukaryota; Metazoa; Chordata; Mammalia; Cingulata; Dasypodidae
Source: RNAcentral
GUACUCUCUUUGGUAGCACAUAUACUAAUUUUGGAACCAUACAGAGAUGAUUAGCAUGGCCCCUGAGCAAGGAUGACACACAACUUUGUGAAGCAUUCCAUAUUUAA